This 392-nucleotide ribosomal RNA is filed under the name uncultured bacterium. Its description in RNAcentral is "bacterial SSU rRNA". It matches the Rfam family "Bacterial small subunit ribosomal RNA", at positions 28 to 420 of the family's 1533-position model. The record is from RNAcentral.
GACGAACGCUGGCGGCGUGCUUAACACAUGCAAGUCGAGCGGUAAGGCCCUUUCGGGGGUACGACGAGCGGCGAACGGGUGAGUAACACGUGGGUGACCUGCCCUUACGCUCUGGGAUAAGCCUGGGAAACUGGGUCUAAUACCGGAUAUGACUCCAUGACGCAUGUUGUGGGGUGGAAAGCCUUGUGCGGCUAGGGAUGGGCCUGCGGCCUAUCAGCUUGUUGGUGGGGUGAUGGCCUACCAAGGCGACGACGGGUAGCCGGCCUGAGAGGGCGACCGGCCACACUGGGACUGAGACACGGCCCAGACUCCUACGGGAGGCAGCAGUGGGGAAUCUUGCGCAAUGGGCGAAAGCCUGACGCAGCGACGCCGCGUGGGGAUGACGGCCUCGG